GAGGGUGUAGCUCAGUGGUAGAGCACGUGCUUAGGAUGCAGGAUGUCCUGGGUUCCAUCCCCAGUAUCUCCA
Molecule: transfer RNA, 72 nt
Filed under: Camelus dromedarius (Arabian camel)
Lineage: Eukaryota; Metazoa; Chordata; Mammalia; Artiodactyla; Camelidae
Also listed under: 2 other names
Rfam family: tRNA
About the family: Transfer RNA (tRNA) molecules are approximately 80 nucleotides in length. Their secondary structure includes four short double-helical elements and three loops (D, anti-codon, and T loops).
Source: Rfam by way of RNAcentral